RNAcentral lists this ribosomal RNA (437 nucleotides) under uncultured bacterium. RNAcentral describes it as "bacterial SSU rRNA". It matches the Rfam family "Bacterial small subunit ribosomal RNA", at positions 84 to 518 of the family's 1533-position model. The record is from RNAcentral.
CUGAGUGGCGACCGGCGCACGGGUGAGUAACACGUAUGCAACCUGCCUGUAAGCGGGGAAUAACCCGUUGAAAGACGGACUAAUACCGCAUAAUACUAAAUUACUGCAUGGUAAUUUAUUUAAACAUUUAUGGCUUACAGAUGGGCAUGCGCAUGAUUAGCUAGUUGGAGAGGUAACGGCUCCCCAAGGCAACGAUCAUUAGGGGUUCUGAGAGGAAGGUCCCCCACACUGGUACUGAGACACGGACCAGACUCCUACGGGAGGCAGCAGUGAGGAAUAUUGGUCAAUGGACGAGAGUCUGAACCAGCCAAGUCGCGUGCAGGAAGAAUGUCCUAAUGGAUUGUAAACUGCUUUUGCAGGGGAAUAAAGUGCAUCACGUGUGAUGUUUUGUAUGUACUCUGCGAAUAAGGAUCGGCUAACUCCGUGCCAGCAGCGGC